RNAcentral lists this long non-coding RNA (237 nucleotides) under Elaeis guineensis (African oil palm). RNAcentral's name for it is "long non-coding RNA (EGUI_LNC041810)". The record is from RNAcentral. Lineage: Eukaryota; Viridiplantae; Streptophyta; Magnoliopsida; Arecales; Arecaceae.
UGAAUAUGUAUGCAUUCUCUACUCCCAUAAAUUUUUGAAGUAUAUUGAUAAUUUGAGGUUUAAUUUCAAAGUGUUUAUGGUGGGUUGGAGCAACCUAAUGCAAGAAGGUUGGAUGGAACUGACUGGAUAAUAUAAAUUCUUAAAGAUUUGGGGUUGAUUAGGUUCUCCCAUUGUAGAAGUUGUUGGGUUUGAAAUAGGAAUCGAAUCACUAGUCGACCCGACACCCUUCUCCAUGAA